This is a non-coding RNA of Arachis ipaensis, 1252 nucleotides long. NCBI's taxonomy places the organism in Eukaryota, Viridiplantae, Streptophyta, Magnoliopsida, Fabales, Fabaceae. The record is from RefSeq and is a predicted model, not a curated record.
UCAAAUUGAAUACAAAUGCCAUCGGAGGUUCAAGUUGAUUUUUGCUAACUUUGUUGUCCCACAUUGAACACACAGAGAUGCAUCAUGGACAAGGCAAGGAAGGGGAAAAAAAAAGAAGAAAGCAGCUAGUAGUAAAGUAGAAAACGAAAAAGCAAGGUGUAAAAGGCCGCACAAGGACUCCGAACAAGCACCAUCUGCUCGGAGGAUGACCAAAUCUCAGCAUAGAGAUAUGGAUGCGCAGAAGGUGAGCUCGGUUAAUUAAAAUUACUUGUGUUAUUAUCAUGGAUGUUUAUUUUAGUAAGUAUGCGACUGGUUUGAGUAUUUAUCAAGCAUAUGACGAUAUCUAGGAAUAUAGCCCCAACUGUGGUUAUAAAAAUUAUUCCUCUCCUCUCAAGCAUGAUAAAGUGUUUUAUAUAUGUUGUUUUUCAUAUCCUGCUGUGUCGCUUAUAUCUCUUAAUCCGCUAAAUGUAUACACGUCAAAAAUGCAGGCCUGGUACGAGGAGAAAGUUGCCUAUUCGUAGAAGCCGAUCUGGAAGUGGCAUUAAAAAAGCACUUCCAAGAGAGAGUGUCCCAAAAAGCAAGGGGACACCUUUUGAGAAACAAAUUAGAGCAUGGAUACUUAACUCGUCCUUGAACAAAGAGCAACAUUUGGUAUCCUAUGAAGGUCGAGAACAUCUGGUAUUACAAAGGAAGGACUUAUGUACCUUGAAAGCCCGCAGUUGGGUCAACAGCACGGUCAUUCAAUGGAUGUGCUACUCCUUCAACAACAUCGAAUCAUCUAGAUUCAAGCGAGAUUUCUAUUGCGUUUGUUCAGGGAUAUUGGUAAUUACACUCUACUAAUUAUAAUAUGUGUCAGAUUUUGUAAGGAUUCUUACUAGUUGUGGGUUUGCAGGAAUCAGUCACAUGAAAUGAUAAUCUGGCAUCAUUCAUUGACAGUGCAAGUCCAAUGUAUGUGGAGCUUGGUCCAAGCUUUGGUGAGGAUAAUAGGUUUUUUGACAAAGUCGAAGCUGCAAAGAGAAAAUGGGUCAGUUGUAAUCUUUUUUAAAUACUCUGCACUUACGAUAUAUUAGACAACUCGUAAAAUUUUGAACAUCCUUGGUUUGUUUUUCCUGGUUAUGUUGCAUGAGUUGCAUGUGAUUAUUUUGUUACCAAAAGUAGCACCACUCUCUCUUAUUAUAUUCAAAAUAAACUUGUAAAGAUCUCCCUUCAUGCUGUAUGUGUUAUUUAACAUGGACAAGGAUGGUCCGUUUGG